This 519-nucleotide ribosomal RNA is filed under the name uncultured eukaryote. Its description in RNAcentral is "SSU rRNA". It matches the Rfam family "Eukaryotic small subunit ribosomal RNA", at positions 1161 to 1698 of the family's 1831-position model. The record is from RNAcentral.
AGGGCACCACCAGGAGUGGAGCCUGCGGCUUAAUUUGACUCAACACGGGAAAACUCACCCGGCCCGGACACUGGAAGGAUUGACAGAUUGAGAGCUCUUUCUUGAUUCAGUGGGUGGUGGUGCAUGGCCGUUCUUAGUUGGUGGAGUGAUUUGUCUGGUUAAUUCCGAUAACGAACGAGACUCUAGCCUAUUAAAUAGAUCGUUGGCUUACAAACGCCGGCGAGACUUCUUAGAGGGACAGGCGGCGAUUCAGCCGCACGAAACAGAGCAAUAACAGGUCUGUGAUGCCCUUAGAUGUCCGGGGCCGCACGCGCGCUACACUGAAGUGAUCAGCGUGCAUUUUGAAACCUACUCUGUCAAGAGUGGGGAACCCAAUGAACCUUCUUCGUGAUUGGGAUAGGGGAUUGUAAUUAUUCCCCUUGAACGAGGAAUUCCCAGUAAGCGCGAAUCAUAAGUUUGCGCUGAUUACGUCCCUGCCCUUUGUACACACCGCCCGUCGCUACUACCGAUUGAAUGUUU